UCAAGCUAAUAAGAGCGCAAGGGGAAUGCCUUGGCAUCAGGAGCCGACGAAGGACGUGACAAGCUGCGAUAAGCUACGGUGAGGAGCAAAUAUCCUGUGACCCGUAGAUUUCCGAAUGGGGCAACCCGGCUGGACAAUAUCCAGUCAUCCUGCAUUGAAUCAAAUAGGUGUAGGAAGGGAACCGCCUGAACUGAAACAUCUAAGUAGGGCGAGGAAAAGACAUCAACCGAGAUUCCGCAAGUAGUGGCGAGCGAACGCGGAAGAGGCCAAACCGGAGGAUUUAUUCUCCGGGGUUGCGGACAGCUAUACGGAACAAUAGUUUAGCCGAACGGUCUGGGAAGGCCGGUCACAGAGGGUGAGAACCCCGUAGGCGAAAGACGAAUUGUUUCAGGCUGGAUCCAGAGUACCGCAGGACACGUGAAACCCUGUGGGAAACAGGGGGGACCACCCUCCAAGCCUAAAUACUACCUGAUGACCGAUAGAGGAGCAGUACCGUGAGGGAAAGGUGAAAAGGACCCCGGGAGGGGAGUGAAAGAGAACCUGAAACCUUGUGCUUACAAGCAGUCAGAGCACGUUAACGUGUGAUGGCGUACUUUUUGUAGAACGGUCCGGCGAGUUAUAGUAACGAGCAAGCUUAAGGUAUUCAGUACCGGAGGCGAAGCGAAAGCGAGUCUGAAUAGGGCGUAUGAAGUUCGUUGCCAUAGACCCGAAACCGGGUGACCUACGCAUGAGCAGGUUGAAGUGGGGGUGAAACCCCAUGGAGGACCGAACCAACCCCCGUUGCAAUGGUGGUGGAUGACUUGUGCGUAGCGGUGAAAUUCCAAUCGAACUCGGAGAUAGCUGGUUCUCCCCGAAAUAGCUUUAGGGCUAGCGUUAGUUUAGAUUACCGGAGGUAAAGCACUGAAUGGUUUAGGGGCUGAUAAAGUUACCGACGCCUAUCAAACUCUGAAUGCCGGAUAAUUGAUGACUAGCAGUCAGACAGUGUGAGAUAAGUUUCAUUGUCAAAAGGGAAACAGCCCAGACCUACAGCUAAGGUCCCAAAUGUAUGCUAAGUGGAAAACGAUGUGGAAUUGCGAAAACAACCAGGAUGUUGGCUUAGAAGCAGCCACACAUUAAAAGAGUGCGUAAUAGCUCACUGGUCGAGUGACUCUGCGCGGAAAAUGUAACGGGGCUAAGCAUGCAACCGAAGCUUAGGAUUGUCUAAAGACAGUGGUAGGGGAGCGUUCUGUAUGGGGUGAAGUCGCAGCGAGAGCAGCGGUGGACUGUACAGAAGUGAGAAUGCCGGAAUGAGUAGCGAGAAUUAUGUGGGAAUCAUAAUGGCCGAAAAUCUAAGGUUUCUUGGGGAAGGUUCGUCCGCCCAAGGUAAGUCGGGAGCUAAGCUCAGGCCGAGAGGCGUAGGCGAUGCACAUACGGUAGAAAUUCCGUAACCACCGAAACUUAAACAGAGGGACACUUCGAAAUAGCGGAACCCGGGCGUUGGUUGACCCGGGCGUAAGGGAGCGAAAUUAGAGUAGCGAAGUCCGCGAUGUUCGGAGGCGAGAAAAGCUCUGAGGUAUGCUAAGGUGCCCGUACCGCAAACCGACACAGGUAGAUGAGGAGAGAAUCCUAAGGCCAACGGGAGAAGGGUUGUUAAGGAACUCGGCAAAUUGACCCCGUAACUUCGGAAGAAGGGGAGCCCCCUACGGGGGGUCGCAGAGAAAUGGCCCAAGCAACUGUUUACCAAAAACACAGGUCUAUGCUAAAUCGAAAGAUGACGUAUAUGGGCUGACGCCUGCCCGGUGCCGGAAGGUUAAGAGGAGAUGUCAGGCAACGAAGCAUUGAAUUUAAGCCCCGGUAAACGGCGGCCGUAACUAUAACGGUCCUAAGGUAGCGAAAUUCCUUGUCAGGUAAGUUCUGACCCGCACGAAUGG
This 1910-nucleotide ribosomal RNA is filed under the name human gut metagenome. RNAcentral describes it as "bacterial LSU rRNA". It matches the Rfam family "Bacterial large subunit ribosomal RNA", at positions 3 to 1999 of the family's 2925-position model. The record is from RNAcentral.